RNAcentral lists this ribosomal RNA (289 nucleotides) under uncultured Anoxybacillus sp. RNAcentral's name for it is "partial 16S ribosomal RNA". It matches the Rfam family "Bacterial small subunit ribosomal RNA", at positions 1095 to 1382 of the family's 1533-position model. Lineage: Bacteria; Bacillati; Bacillota; Bacilli; Caryophanales; Anoxybacillaceae. The record is from RNAcentral.
AGCGCAACCCUCGACCUUAGUUGCCAGCAUUCAGUUGGGCACUCUAAGGUGACUGACCGGCUAAAAGUCGGAGGAAGGUGGGGAUGACGUCAAAUCAUCAUGCCCCUUAUGACCUGGGCUACACACGUGCUACAAUGGGCGGUACAAAGGGUCGCGAACCCGCGAGGGGGAGGCCAAUCCCAAAAAAGCCGCUCUCAGUUCGGAUUGCAGGCUGCAACUCGCCUGCAUGAAGCCGGAAUCGCUAGUAAUCGCGGAUCAGCAUGCCGCGGUGAAUACGUUCCCGGGCCUU